RNAcentral lists this unclassified non-coding RNA (253 nucleotides) under Candidatus Kaiserbacteria bacterium. Its description in RNAcentral is "contains 16S-23S intergenic spacer region". It matches the Rfam family "Bacterial small subunit ribosomal RNA", at positions 524 to 776 of the family's 1533-position model. Lineage: Bacteria; Candidatus Kaiseribacteriota. The record is from RNAcentral.
UACAGAAGCCCCAAGCGUUACCCGGAAUCACUGGGCGUAAAGGGUGUGUAGGUGGUCUGGUUAGUCGUCUGUCAAAGCCGGGAGCUCAACUUCCGAGAGGCAGGCGAAACGGCCAAACUUGAGGGUGCGAAAGGCGCACGGAACUCAUGGUGUAGGGGUGAAAUCCGUUGAUAUCAUGGGGAACACCGAAAGCGAAGGCAGUGCGCUGGCGCAUUCCUGACACUGAGACACGAAAGCCAGGGUCGCGAAUGGG